Clupea harengus (Atlantic herring) is the source of this 1872-nucleotide long non-coding RNA. The record is from Ensembl. Lineage: Eukaryota; Metazoa; Chordata; Actinopteri; Clupeiformes; Clupeidae.
GGACAGUUUACACAGAGCUUCAACGUAACAGACCACAGGUUCAUCUGAGGUUACACAAAGAGCUUUGGUUUAGACACAGUUUUUGAUAGUGGUGAAGGACUUGCAAUGCUUUAUUCAAAAAAAGUACAACUGAGAGCUCUGUGUGUCAUUAGCAAACACAAAGUCCUGAAAUGUCAUCAAAAUGAACAAGGAAACAGUGCAAUAAGACUUCUGGGGAAACUUCAACCUUCAACCUUGGUCCUAAUUGUAGAUCUUUUUGUGUCCACAUUUUUUGCUAGGGACAAAAACGUAUCGAAAUCGGUCCAGUAUUGAGUUAGAACGCUAAACCAACUGCAAAAUGGCGGUACAAUGCACGCACAAGCAUGCACGUCUCUGACGUAAGCACCCCAUUCAGUGCUUGUAGUCGAAAGGCCUACUGUGUGGUGUUGGAUUGGGCACUCCGAGGAGAGCGCCUCCCUUCGAUAAUCGACUACAGGCGCUGAAUGGGGUGGUACAUCAGCGACCGGAAGGAGAGAGAGGUAAGACACUGACUGUACAAACAUUUUCUGAUGUUUCUUUACAGCUAUUAAGGUAAACAGGCGCAGGUGUGUCUCUGUAUGGAUCCCUUCCAUGUUGUCAGAUCCUUAUAAUAACAUUUACAAGCCUGUCAGUGGCUAAAACUAGUGGUUAACUUUGACGUGCCUGCUCGCUCCAGAGGAUCCCAUUGUAUAGCCAUUUUGUGGUUGCUGGUUUUAGCAUUUAUGAAUUAAAGCUGCAUAUUUAAUAGAACAUUUUGCAGAGCAUUACCAUAAUACAAAUAACAACAAAAACAACAGCAACAAUCAUAAUACUGGUAAUAAUUACAACCGUAAACAUUACAAUAGCAAUGAUUGGGCCCGGAAUCAUGAUUUAUAGACAAUAUACAACCGUAUGGAUGUCCCCCUCUGCCCCUAAAUCUCUGGAAAGAAAUUCCAGAGAAAAAGCAAGAGAUGCUCAGAGAAAAACCCUGUUACGUCUUUGGAAAUUCCGCUGCGGGGGGUACGUGACGCGGGGCCCAAAGCUCACAGGAACACUGCGUCUUAUAGCAUCUCUGACACCUGGUACGUUUUUCAUGAUCUUACUCUCUACUUUUUACGCAGGAAAACAACUAAAUCGUCAAAGGUCACUUCCUUUUUUGAUUUUUUGGUACAAACUGUUUUCACAGUUCUUGUUUAAAACCAUGAGAAAACAAAGUGUGCUCACCUUUGUUUCCUCUUUGAGCUUCACCUCAAUAAUAGUUUGUGGCUUUUGGCUUCCGUGACAAAUAAUACAUGUUAAACGUGACCUGGUCUUAGUCUGGUUUUUAAAAAAAAACCUGUUUCUGUGCACGUUUCUGUGUUUGUAUGCAUGUGAGUGUUUUUGUGUGUGUGUGUGUGUGUGUGUGUGUGUGUGUGUAGAAGGUAUGUUGGUGUGUGUGUGUGUGCAUGUGUGAGCAGGUGUGUGUGUGGGAGUGCAGGUGUGUGCGUGCCUGAGUGUGUACAUGUGUGGUUGUGUGUGUGUGUUAAUAUUUUGUGGGUUUUCAGAUGAUUAUCAGUAUCUCAGAAGAUGAAAUGUGCUGAAGCUGCCAAUCUGCACACAUCUGCUCCUGACCACAAAUGCUUGAAUAUGUAAACAAUCACAUGAACUCCCCCCACCCCCUGCACCAUGAGCCGAGGUUCUGCCCAAGGUUUACUCUGCCCAAGUUUGUCACCCUUGUGUUUACUCCCGGGGGUUCAGACUCUGGCUUGUGUAAAGCGCCUUGAGACAACUUUUUUGCUACGGCACUAUAUAAAUAAAAUGUAAUUGAAUUUAUGGUGAGCUCAAGUGAGCAUAAAUAACAAUAUAAUCUUAUUCUGAAAAAUAUAGAAUGCAUUU